AUACGUAGGUGGCAAGCGUUGUCCGGAAUUAUUGGGCGUAAAGCGCGCGCAGGUGGUUCCUUAAGUCUGAUGUGAAAGCCCCCGGCUCAACCGGGGAGGGUCAUUGGAAACUGGGGAACUUGAGUGCAGAAGAGGAUAGUGGAAUUCCAAGUGUAGCGGUGAAAUGCGUAGAGAUUUGGAGGAACACCAGUGGCGAAGGCGACUGUCUGGUCUGUAACUGACACGGAGGCGCGAAAGCUUGGGGAGCAAACAGGAUUAGAUACCCUGGUAGUCCACGCCGUAAACGAUGAGUGCUAAGUGUUGGGGGGUUUCCGCCCCUCAGUGCUGCAGCUAACGCAUUAAGCACUCCGCCUGGGGAGUACGGUCGCAAGACUGAAACUCAAAUGAAUUGACGGGG
Molecule: ribosomal RNA, 397 nt
Filed under: uncultured bacterium
Lineage: Bacteria
Description: partial 16S ribosomal RNA
Rfam family: Bacterial small subunit ribosomal RNA
Source: RNAcentral